AACGAACGCUGGCGGCAGGCUUAACACAUGCAAGUCGAGCGCGUAGCAAUACGAGCGGCAGACGGGUGAGUAACGCGUGGGAAUCUACCGUACCCUACGGAAUAGCUCCGGGAAACUGGAAGUAAUACCGUAUACGCCCGAAAGGGGAAAGAUUUAUCGGGGUAUGAUGAGCCCGCGUUGGAUUAGCUAGUUGGUGGGGUAAAGGCCUACCAAGGCGACGAUCCAUAGCUGGUCUGAGAGGAUGAUCAGCCACAUUGGGACUGAGACACGGCCCAGGCUGCUGCGGGGGGCAGCAGUGGGGAAUAUUGGACAAUGGGCGCAAGCCUGAUCCAGCCAUGCCGCGUGAGUGAUGAAGGUCUUAGGAUUGUAAAGCUCUUUCACCGAUGAAGAUAAUGACGGUAGUCGGAGAAGAAGCCCCGGCAAACUUCGUGCCAGCCGCCGCGGUAA
This 447-nucleotide ribosomal RNA is filed under the name uncultured bacterium. RNAcentral's name for it is "partial 16S ribosomal RNA". It matches the Rfam family "Bacterial small subunit ribosomal RNA", at positions 29 to 523 of the family's 1533-position model. The record is from RNAcentral.